UCGCCGGAUCGGUCAGGUUGAGCAGGAACGUGAUGCUGCCGUUGUCGCGGACGAACCGGUCCCGGUGCGGCCCCGGCAUCCGCGACCC
Molecule: transfer RNA, 88 nt
Filed under: Actinocatenispora rupis
Lineage: Bacteria; Bacillati; Actinomycetota; Actinomycetes; Micromonosporales; Micromonosporaceae
Description: tRNA-Gly
Source: RNAcentral